GGCCGGGAACGGGACGAGGGGCGGCCGCCGUCCCGAAAAACAGCGGCAAGGGUGCGGUGGCGCCCCGUACAGCCCUGAGACCACACUCGGGGUCAUCACCGCCUCGAAAGUCGGGAUCAUCACUGUGUCGAAAUGCUGUCCUGUACAGCGCAAGUCCUGUGCCCCUCACUGAGAGGCGAUGGAUGGAUGGACUGAACAUGUGCACUCCUCAGAGAGAAUUUUCUCUAUUUUGUGCACUGGAAUGCCCCAUCCCACUAUCCCUUAGUGGGACACGCUGCAUGAUUAGGAGCUGGAGGGACAAGGUCCAUCCUGUGAGCAGCGGCAGCUUCGCUCUCCAUGGAGGACACUAGCUGUGAAUUCCAGAAUCACUUACAUUGGAAAUGAGAUCAUCGAGUCCAACCGUUCCCCCAGCACCUCCAAGGCCACCAAAGAACCACAUUCCCGAGUGCCACAUUCAGCUUUUAAAGCCCUCCAGGGAUGGUGACUCCCCUGCCUUCCUGGGCAGCCUGUUCCAGUGCUUGACAAGCUUUUGGUGAAGAAAUUUUCCUUAAUAUCCAAUCAAAACCUUCUUAGGUGCAACUUGAGGCCAUUUCCUCUUGUCCCAUCGCUUUUUAAUUUGGAGAAGUAGUGGUGUUAGUGAAGUUUCAAUCUACAAUUACUUAAAUUAAGGAAAACAAAGAAAGCAGCCCACAGAAUAAAUCAUAGCUGAGUUCCCAUAAACAUAUAUGGAAAUCACCUGAAGGUGCCCAUGACUUCAGUGGAAGGUCUUAGAAAUAGGGAAGCAGAAGGAGCAACAAACAGGUCCACCUCCACAGCAGAAGUGAGGCAUCCAUUUCCCAUAGAUACCUCAGAUAGAACCUUCAUUCUGAAGGAUCCCCAAGACCAAUCCAGACCACACAGCUUAAAUGGGGUGUGGGGGAACUUUCACAGCAAGAAGAUUUGCUAAAAGCCAUUAUUUUAUUCAGGUACUGUUAUCUGUUCUGUUCAGUUCUUUCCUUCUCUUUGGCUUGUUAAUAAGUAGUGUGGAAAACCUGCUUGCAGACAGGGAGACACCAUAUAAUUAAAGGUAUUCUAUUUAAUUCUGUAGGAACAACAUCAAUUUUCCUAAUACAGUGUAUGCAAUUUGAAAAAUCAGGUAAGCAGUGCAUACAUUUUUUAUUAACAUGAGGACCCUGAACUAUUACUAAUGAAGUACAGAAAGAAAAGACAGGACUCUCAGUAGGAAAAUACCAUCCAUUAAAUGUCUCCCUGGGGAUCAAAUGACACUUACAAUUGAAAGACAUUAACUACCUCCUACAUUUCAAUUGGUUACCAGCAGGAUGCCUAUUUGUAGAGAUUUGUGCUGCCUGUACUCUGUGAGUGUAAGAUGCCACAUUAAUAUUUUCUGACCUUUGCAGUAGAUAUUGCCCUUUUUUUUCACAGAUCAGCUGCCUGAUUUUACCUUUUAAAACCCUUGAUCCUGUUAAAGAAUGAGCAGAAGAGCAACUCUGUGAGUGGGCAGGGGUCUGCUGAAGCCAACAGACCUGCUGAACAUGUUCUGAAUGUUUUCUGAUACAUGUUACCCUUUACAACAAGGCUUCUAGGGUUCUUUUUGUAAAAGUGUACCUGCCUUUUACUAAAUGCC
This is a long non-coding RNA of Cyanistes caeruleus (blue tit), 1624 nucleotides long. Lineage: Eukaryota; Metazoa; Chordata; Aves; Passeriformes; Paridae. The record is from Ensembl.